RNAcentral lists this long non-coding RNA (3028 nucleotides) under Equus asinus (donkey). RNAcentral's name for it is "lncRNA (ENSEASG00005033474.1)". The record is from RNAcentral. Lineage: Eukaryota; Metazoa; Chordata; Mammalia; Perissodactyla; Equidae.
CGACAGUGCAGGAGGGUGAGGCCAGGUGCAGACCAGGAGGUGAGCGGGGUGGGGAACGGGAGGCCACGCCCUAGCAAAGAAAAUGAAAUUUAAAAACAUAAUCAUCGUGCUGGCCAAAUAAACUCCUCCACAGCCGGGUUUGACCACUCUGCCGCUCAGGCCUGACUCUGGGGCCUUUGGAGACCCUCCUUCCACUGCACAGGGGCCUGGGCACACCCCACUCACCUUAUCGCCGCCGUCAGCAAACAUUUGCAGGGCAGCAACAGUAGGCGCCUGCCCCAUGUUCCAGAUAGACACACCAGGAGCUGAGGCAAGACCUGCCUGGGGGGCCUGAGCUUGAAUCCUACUCUGCUGUGGGCUUGCUGUGUGGCCCUGAGCAAGCUGCUGGACCUCUCUGAGCCUCAGUGACUCCAGCUGUAAAUGGGGCAGCAUGCUGGGCAAGGAUAAAUGGAUCGUACAGGGCCAGAUCUGCCCUCCUGGAGUGACCAGCACCAGCUCAGGAGGCAGUGCGUCCACCUGUCCACCUCUCCCCUGAAGGACUGGGUCGGUGCCUUGCUGACCCAUUUUGCAGAUGAGUAGACUGAGGCUCAGCGAGGCGUGGAUGGCCUUAUUUUCUUCAAUGCAAUGGUACCCGUGUGUCUCCCUUACAAGGAGCGUCUCCCAGGCACUGGGCCCUGCCUCCUGUUCACCACGUGUGGCCACCCCCUCCACCAUCCUUGACUGUAAAAGGAGAGAGAUCAUGGCCUCUGUGGGCUAAGAAGUUUGCCGGGGGCGAUUCUGUAGGAUCGGUUGGCCCGUGCCAACCCAGAGCUACAGCCUGACACACCCUCACAGACACACCCGGGAAUGAUGUUUUACCGCCGUGUAUCCGGGCUCCCCCAAUCAGCCAAGUGGACACGUGGAAUCCGCCACCAGAGCAGGGGGCGCGGUCUGUGCUUACGUCCCUGUUGUCACAGAAGAUGUUAAAAGACCACCCCUCGGGGUGGAGAUUUAAUAUAAACAGUCAUUUUGCGGUCUCAUCGAGGACAGUCUCAGGGAAGCCAUGCUUCUUUGUGUGUGGAGCCGUGAAGGGCACGGCAACCAUGAAGACAGCUUGGGGCCGCGGCCUCGAUCCUGCUCCCGCAGCAGCAAUGUCACCGCCACCCCUGCAUCAACACCAUUAUCGCAAAGGUCAACCUGUGAAGAAGGCAAUGACCUCUGAGUGUACUACGCAGCUGGUUUUGACCUCACAGACCCUGAAAGGGCCUUGGGGCUGCCAGGGGGACGGACUAUGAGGAGUGCCGGUCCCGAGGACCGAGUUCACGCUCUGCCCGCCUCCACUGCCCCGAGAGGGAACACGCAGGGGAUUCGUCUCCCCAGCACCGAGCACUUGCCCGUCCCUGACCGCUGGCCUUUGUCCUGGUGCUGCCCCAGCUGUAACGUAAUGUCCACCUGCCUUGCCCAGAGCCUCCCAGCCCUCCAACGCGUCUCUGUGGGACUUCUUUCGCCCCGAGGUCAGCCUCACGGUUCCCUGCUUCCUUGCUCUUAGCUGUGUUGUAGAACCUCAGUUUUGAAGCCCAGCUGCGUGGCCAGGCUCCUUGAGUGUGGUGACCGGGUUCUCCUCCUCCCUAAUCAGUGCUCAGCGAGGAAGGCUGAUGAGUUGACUGGCUGCCUUAUCCCUCCUCCUACUGCCACCUUCUGCUACCUUCAGCCGUAAAUAACGGAAGAUCCAGACUCAAAGUGGCCAAAGCCGCUUAGCUAGCCUGAGCACAAGUCUAGAGGGAGGACAGCUCUCAACAUGAUAAGUGCAGUGGUUCUGGCACUUGGGCUCUGUCUGCCUGUUCUCCUGUUGGCUCACUCUCAGGAUGGCGCUCCUCAUGGUUACGAGACGGCUGUGUAGAUUCCAGACAUCACACGCAGACGUGACAUCCAUCUUGGAAAAAGUGGGGCUGCUUCUUCCAACACGUCUCUUCCGUUGGUGAGGAAAACCUUCCGGACUUGCCCUUGCAUCUCACAGGCCAGAUCCCCGGCAAGAGGAGCGAGAUGGCUGUCAGUGGCUUAGGCCAAUCACGAUUUGCCCUCUGUGGCUGGAGGUCUGGGCCCACCUCUCCUGAAACACAUGACUCGUGGGGAAGUUGGGAACAUGAACAAAAUCAGGGUUCAGAGGAAAGAAGGAAGGUGGAGUGGUGAGCGUUUGUCAAGUGGGUGUGAACAGGUCUGCCAGGGUUGUGGUCCUGGGUUUUCGGAGUACACAGGUGGACUGGUGGCAACAGGCUUUGAAGACAGCUCCUUCCAAUGCCAGUCUUUCCCUUUAAUAUUGCUUCUGCCAGAAUCCGUCAGCUGAUGCUUUGGGGUGACCAGAUACAAGAAUUAGGGAGGCUUCCGUGCAUUCCUCCAUCCCUUCCAAACGCCUUCCGUGUGCCGGGCAGACCACAGGAGAGAGGCAGGGCCGCCCCAUCCAGUGCACACCGUACGGUUCCCUCCAGCUUCCCACGGUGGACUCAGAACCAGUGGCUUCUUACUUCCCAUGGUGUAAAUUCUCGACUCCUCCAUCCCACCCCCCAACCUGACCCCAGCGCCCUCACAGCCUUAUCUCCUAGCACACCUCUUCAAGCCUGAGUUCCACUGAGCAGUUCUCCACUGAGCAGGAACUGCUCACCCUGGGCCCUGCUGUCCUUCCCCCUCCCAUCUCCAAAUCCUGCUCAUCCUGCAAGGGUCAGAUUGAAUGCUGCUUUCCCACAACAUCUUCCUUGAACCCACCCAUCUGAACUGAAGUCUUCCUGAUCCCUUCCUACCUUGUGAUACAGACAUUUUUAUAGAUGUUUUCUAAUGAUGAGGAUCACUAUUUGUUCAGCAUUUUCUAUAUUCCGGGCACAGUAAUGAGAGCUUUACACGGAAGAUCUUGUUUAGUUUUUAUUACACCCACUGGAGGCAGACAUUCUUACCCUUGGGUGAGAAACUGAGACCCAGAGAUUAACGGACCCAAUAUCACACAGCUGUAACUGAUAGAAGACGUGUAUUAGUUGUCUGUCGCUGUGUUCAAAUUACC